RNAcentral lists this ribosomal RNA (482 nucleotides) under uncultured bacterium. RNAcentral describes it as "partial 16S ribosomal RNA". It matches the Rfam family "Bacterial small subunit ribosomal RNA", at positions 30 to 507 of the family's 1533-position model. The record is from RNAcentral.
AUUGAACGCUGGCGGCAUGCCUUACACAUGCAAGUCGAACGGCAGCGCGGACUUCGGUCUGGCGGCGAGUGGCGAACGGGUGAGUAAUACAUCGGAACGUACCCUGUUGUGGGGGAUAACUAGUCGAAAGAUUAGCUAAUACCGCAUACGACCUGAGGGUGAAAGUGGGGGACCGCAAGGCCUCACGCAGCAGGAGCGGCCGAUGUCUGAUUAGCUAGUUGGUGGGGUAAAGGCCCACCAAGGCGACGAUCAGUAGCUGGUCUGAGGACGAUCAGCCACACUGGGACUGAGACACGGCCCAGACUCCUACGGGAGGCAGCAGUGGGGAAUUUUGGACAAUGGGGGCAACCCUGAUCCAGCAAUGCCGCGUGUGUGAAGAAGGCCUUCGGGUUGUAAAGCACUUUUGUCCGGAAAGAAAUCGCGCUGGUUAAUACCUGGCGUGGAUGACGGUACCGGAAGAAUAAGCACCGGCUAACUACGUG